This 166-nucleotide unclassified non-coding RNA is filed under the name uncultured Helotiales. RNAcentral's name for it is "sequence contains ITS1". The record is from RNAcentral. Lineage: Eukaryota; Fungi; Ascomycota; Leotiomycetes; Helotiales.
CAGAGUUCAUGCCCUCACGGGUAGAUCUCCCACCCUUGAAUAUUUUAUACCUUUGUUGCUUUGGCGGGCCGCUUCGGCUACCGGCUUCGGCUGGUGAGUGCCCGCCAGAGGACCCCAAACUCUUGUUUUAUACAGUAUCUUCUGAGUAACACGAUUAAAUAAAUCA